UACAGAGGUCUCAAGCGUUGUUCGGAUUCAUUGGGCGUAAAGGGUGCGUAGGCGGCGCGGUAAGUCGGGUGUGAAAUCUCGGAGCUUAACUCCGAAACUGCAUUCGAUACUGCCGUGCUUUGAGGACUGGAGAGGAGACUGGAAUUCAUGGUGUAGCAGUGAAAUGCGUAGAGAUCAUGAGGAAGACCAGUGGCGAAGGCGGGUCUCUGGACAGUUCCUGACACUGAGACACGAAGGCCAGGGGAGCAAACGGG
This 254-nucleotide ribosomal RNA is filed under the name uncultured bacterium. Its description in RNAcentral is "partial 16S ribosomal RNA". It matches the Rfam family "Bacterial small subunit ribosomal RNA", at positions 524 to 776 of the family's 1533-position model. The record is from RNAcentral.